RNAcentral lists this ribosomal RNA (429 nucleotides) under uncultured beta proteobacterium. RNAcentral describes it as "bacterial SSU rRNA". It matches the Rfam family "Bacterial small subunit ribosomal RNA", at positions 355 to 776 of the family's 1533-position model. The record is from RNAcentral. Lineage: Bacteria; Pseudomonadati; Pseudomonadota; Betaproteobacteria.
UGGGGAAUUUUGGACAAUGGGCGCAAGCCUGAUCCAGCAAUGCCGCGUGUGCGAAGAAGGCCUUCGGGUUGUAAAGCACUUUUGUCAGGAAAGAAAACCAUUGGGCUAAUACCCUAGUGGGAUGACGGUACCUGAAGAAUAAGCACCGGCUAACUACGUGCCAGCAGCCGCGGUAAUACGUAGGGUGCGAGCGUUAAUCGGAAUUACUGGGCGUAAAGCGUGCGCAGGCGGUUGUGUAAGACAGAUGUGAAAUCCCCGAGCUUAACUUGGGAAUUGCAUUUGUGACUGCAUAACUAGAGUGCAUCAGAGGGGGGUGGAAUUCCACGUGUAGCAGUGAAAUGCGUAGAGAUGUGGAGGAACACCAAUGGCGAAGGCAGCCCCCUGGGAUGACACUGACGCUCAUGCACGAAAGCGUGGGGAGCAAACAGG